This is a long non-coding RNA of Helianthus annuus (common sunflower), 1213 nucleotides long. RefSeq lists it as uncharacterized. The transcript has 4 exons. NCBI's taxonomy places the organism in Eukaryota, Viridiplantae, Streptophyta, Magnoliopsida, Asterales, Asteraceae. The record is from RefSeq and is a predicted model, not a curated record.
GAUUGCAAAAGAUUUUAUCAUUAUUUGAAGCGGAAGACCCUGAUGUGCGAAUCCAUGCUGUGAAAGUUAUUGCAAAUUUGGCGGCUGAAGCUUUGCAAGAUGCUGGAAGACAAGGUUCAUCAGACAGAGAAGCUUGAAGAAGAAAUAUCUGUUUUACAAACUCAGCUACUGCAGUUAAGCUUUGAUGCCGAUGAGGAAUUUGAUGCUAAUGAUGAUGUUUGGUAUAUGAUGUGUUAAUUGUUAAAUGUCUGACUAUAUAUCUUUUACUUUUUACUUUUUUAGACAAGAAACAGCUGGAGAGUGGUGAUCAUAGUGCCGAAAUGACGGUAGACAUGGAUUCCCUUAUCUCUCCCGUUAGGCAACCGCAUAUGAAGCAUUCAGGGGAGCAAGAGAAGGGCUCGGUGGCAAAACUAUUUGAGCAAGGUUCUUAGUGUACAACAGUUGUACCGGAUCAGUACAAUGUAUUGGGAUGACAAAUAUUGAACUCAUAGUGUGUCCCCGGAUCUAAGUUUGUAUAGGUGUGACAAACGGGUCAAUUUUGGUUGCAUUUUUAUCUCAAAACGGUCCGAAAUACACCCAAAGUUUGUUUUUUUGAUGCAAACAGCCUCCAAAUUUUUUUUAAAGAGUUAGAUCAUUACUGUAAUAAUAUCUUUUUUGUUAUCAUGUUAUUCAUAAAAAGUAGAUAAGAUGGUGUCUUCUGGUCAACCCUGGCAGUUUUGACCCAAUCACUUAGGUACGGGCCGAUGUGGGUUAUGUUUUAUCUCAGAUAGGUGAAAUAAAAAAUAAAAAAAAUAAAAAAAUAAUGAAAUAUCCAUUGAGUUGCUGCAGGCACAAUUGCAAACCUAUCAAUGAACGAAACCAACCAGGAGCUUAUAAUGUCUCAAGGGGGUAUCAGUUUGCUCGCAAUGACCGCACAAAAUGCCGAUGAUCCUCAAACUCUUCGGAUGGUGGCUGGAGCUAUUGCUAAGCUUUCUGGCAACGGUAAUUACAAACUUUAAAUUUACUUACAUAACGGUUACUUUUUUCAAAUCUAUACAUAUAACAAUUCUGGGAACACUAGCUACAGUUUUGUUUUUUAGUAAUUUUUACUUUUUAGCCAAAGGUUUAUUAACACUCCUUUAACUUUAAUAAAAUUAACUUUAUCCUUUCUACUUUAGUUUAACUUUCGGUUGACACCCCUUGCAAUUUAGUUGGUUUAUUUUCCCCCUACACU